CAACCAAAAAUUAAGUAGAGAUGAAGAAGUAUAUGAUUUAGUGCUGGACUGAGUACAAAUAACAUAUUCUUGCUUGUCAUAAAUGUUAGCUUGAUGAUAUAGAAGAAUAUACAUAUAAACCAAAUGGAAAGAAAUCUUGCAAUACUCAAAGUAAUUAGCUAUGAAGUGCUAAAUUUUUUAUUGAGUUGUUGCCUUCAAUUCCAUUGAUAUCUUCCUCAUAUUUGGAAUGAGAUAAGUAGCAUAAUGAGAUAUCGAGUCCCCCAUUCCACAUCUUGAAGAGAAAUUCAAAUCUGGCAAAACAAUAUUGACAUAAUAAGCCCAAAAAUACUAAAGAAAUUAAGAAAAGGUCGAAAUUCACCACGAAUUGAAGGCCACCAUGAGAGCCUAGCCUGUUAUAACAAAGAGCAUGAACCAACGCUAUUUUCUAUGCGUACAUAAAUAUCAUAUGCAUGUAUAAAAGUUUUAAUAGACUUGUAUUUGAUAGCUUUAAGAAGAGAAACAUAGAUGGAAAAUCCAAGAACAAAAUACACAUUCUAAAAUACAGUUAACUCCAUGAUAAAAGUGGCUUUGAGCCUGAGACCAUUUCUCUUGAAUAUUGAAUCAAUAAAUUCUAACAGAAGGCAGAAAGAGAAAACUCUGCAAAUUUGAAGACAGAGAGAGGGGGAAAAGAAAGAAAAGUUCUCAGUGUUGUUGGAGGAAAACAAUGCUUUUAUACUGACCAUCAAGCAAGGAAUUGCAAGCAUCGAAGGGAGAAUUCAUAUCUUGCUGAUUGCACUUUAAUUUUUAUGGUUCCGAGUUGAUAAUUUUUAUAUGUGAAAGGAUUGAAUAAGCAUUUAUUUUAAAUAAAACUAAUAGUUUGACUUUAUAGAAGGAUAUUGUCAGUGACGAGCCAGAAUUUUCACUAAUUGGAUCAGAAUAUAAAAAAUAAACUCACAAAGAAGCCAAAGGAUAUCAAUAUAUAGUAUAUAUAUACAUAAA
This 978-nucleotide long non-coding RNA is filed under the name Nicotiana tabacum (common tobacco). RNAcentral describes it as "long non-coding RNA (NTAB_LNC009277)". Lineage: Eukaryota; Viridiplantae; Streptophyta; Magnoliopsida; Solanales; Solanaceae. The record is from RNAcentral.